RNAcentral lists this transfer RNA (69 nucleotides) under Trichonephila inaurata madagascariensis. Its description in RNAcentral is "tRNA-Arg". The stretch from base 4 to 61 matches the Rfam family "tRNA", at positions 8 to 63 of the family's 71-position model. Rfam says of the family: Transfer RNA (tRNA) molecules are approximately 80 nucleotides in length. The record is from RNAcentral. Lineage: Eukaryota; Metazoa; Arthropoda; Arachnida; Araneae; Nephilidae.
AUAUAGCGCAAUGGAUAGCGCGUUGGUCUUCUAAUCUAAAGGUCGUGGGCUCGAAUCCCACAUGAAAUA